Lytechinus pictus (painted urchin) is the source of this 3753-nucleotide long non-coding RNA. RefSeq lists it as uncharacterized. The record is from RefSeq and is a predicted model, not a curated record. The transcript has 6 exons. Lineage: Eukaryota; Metazoa; Echinodermata; Echinoidea; Temnopleuroida; Toxopneustidae.
AGUGUCUUUGGCUUUGCUGAUAUUUGCCCGGCAGAUUUGAUCCCUCCCAAACAUUAAAAAAUCGGAUAAUUUGUCUCAGAAUUAGGUACAGAAUGACAGAACUGCAGAGAUGGCUAGGUUGAUGUGCUAGUUAGACGAUGCGAAACAGGAAAUUGCAGUUGCUGUUAACAUGGAAUUGGAACAGAGGAUCAGGAGAUAUUUCCCCAGAUGUUACUCUUCCAGAUGCAAAGAGUUUGGUCCAGAUUAACAAUGAAACUGUGGAGAAGUUGUUACAAGUUCAAGCAUCCAUGGGGAUGACAGUCACUAUGAUAGAUACUGCAAUGGUCAAGACUCGAGGCUGGUGAAGUUGAGAGAAGAACACCUGAUCAAAUACUCUGCUGCUCGGGGCAUGAACCAGGCUCAGAUGAUGGCCAAACCUGUCUUAGCUUGUAGAGAAAAAGCUCAGCUCCUUCUCUCACCCCAAGCAACUGUACAGUGUGAGAUGUCUCACCUGAAGACAAGGGAUAAGUCACAAAGAAACUGUGCUGCAUCAACUGACAAGAUCUACAUCAGGAAGGACAUCUGAAGUCCUCUGACCGCCACACCAACCUUCGUCACAGGCAGUGUCCUGGCAGGAGGUUAUAUGAAGAGUCCACAGAGCACGAGGCAAGGUCUGUUUGAUCAAGGCAUCCUUUUGAAUGUUCAUAUGACAUCAUCGGCACCAUCCUUGGAUUCGACCACAGAUCUCAGCUUUUAAGUCAUUGUUGUCAUGCCAAUAUGAACAAGAAGAAAGAAGAGGGCACUACUCAUUUACAAUAGAAAAUGAGCAAAAUGCGAUUUGUUCCAAAAUCGGAUCGCGAACAGUCGUAAGGUGUGCGGUGGCCUUAAGACCCUGCGAAUCAUAUCGAUUGAUGACCAGGAUGUACAAGAAGGGGACAAUGUCUCAAAUGCUUUUGAUGCUCUUACCAAGGCAUUCAAUACAUCUGGGGACUUGGAAGCAGGGGGUUUAAGUCCUUAAAUUAGGUGCCAAUCUGCAAAGCUGCCACCUCAUCUACUAAAUCCUCAACACAACGCACUCUCUGGCAACACACCACCCAUGGGGGCAUACCUCACACCUCAACCCCAGGCCAUUGGUUUGUAUUAAACAAACCUGGAUGGCAUUCAUCAUCAGAGGGAUGCAACUUCUUCUAACCUGCAGUCUUGGCCCAGCAAGAAGGAGACGUGAACAAGCCAGGAUGACGUGAUCGGAGGGAUGUAACUUCAUUCAACCUACAGUCUUGGCCCAGCUGGAAGGAGACAUUGGUUCGUACAAACAAGCCAGGAUGACGUGAUCAGACGGAUCCUACUUCACUCCACCUGCGGACUUGGCCCAUGGAGAGAAAUAUUUCAGGGGGUAUCUCACUGAGCAGUGAAUGUUUUUAAAUGUUGGGAAUCUGAGAUUCACCAACUUUUCUGACGAGUAAUGCAAACUCGUGCGAAUGUUUGUUAAUGACACCAAAAUCUAUUUGCGAUUGUGAACUACUUCAAAAUUGAAAUUAAUAUGUUUAUAAACAUUUGAUACAAAUUUGUUUAUCAGUGGGUUGAAUUUAUACAGGAGCCAACUGAUCGCUAGUAUAUUGGCAAAUCAAAAAGAACUUCAGCCACGCCGUCUUAUUACCAUUUGUAAAGGCAAAGAAAUUUUGAACAUGUUCAAAAUUUCUUUGCGAUGAGGAAAACAGUUUGCAACAAUGAAAAAUGUUUAAAGAACUUUCUUGCAAACUUUUAUGAACCCUGGUGGGUGUUUCAUAAAGCUGUUUUUAAGUUAAGAGCAACUUUAAGAAUGACUGGUGAACCUUUCUUACAUGCUAAAUAAUCACCAGUGAACAUUUAAUGGUGAAUAUCAUUUACCACAAGAAGGGAUCACUAUUCGUUCUUAAAGUCUAUCUUAAUUUACGAACAGCUUUAUGAAACAGUCUCAUCGUGAAAUCCCAAAUUCACUACAUUUGCAAGCAUUCACUGCUCAGAGAGGUUCCCCCUUUAUUGAUAUGUGAUUUGCCACCCCCAAUAACCAGCAGUGAGUCACCCAAUAUGAAUUUUGAGAAUUUAAUUGACCUUGAAAGAGCACAUUCAAAACUUGUCAAAAUUGAUAAAAAAUAACCCACACAGAAACUUGUGUGUAGAAGAAAUUCAGUGAGAGCUUCUGAAAAUAAGGAGAAAGCAAGAUUCGAAACACAAAGGUUUGCGGUGAAUUGCAAAUAUGAAAGAAUCGCACUGAUUGGUUCCCGGUCAAUAUUUUAAACAGAGUGCGCAUGCAACGAUGAUCUUGAUUGGUCAUUGGUAUUUAGCGAGUGAUUGCAAACCUUCGUGUUAUGGAGCCCGAGAUUCACUCAAGCAUGAGAUGUGCAUGUUGUGAUCUAGGUAAAACUUUGAAGCAGUCCAGAAUACAGUGGUGAAAAGCUUCUUUAUGUCAACUUAUUUUACAACUUCAUACUUUCCCCAGAGACAAUAUUGUUGGUUUUUGUGUGGCUGAUCACAUACAUGUAUACAUAUGUACAUAUAUUUACAUAUAUACAAUUUGAUAAAGACCUUAUGGUUGACUUUGUCAUUAUGGUAACUAGCAUGAAAAACCUUGAUUGUGAUUGGCUGCUAAGCCCUGUUACCACGGUAGUUACCAUAAUAACAAAGAUAUCAUUGUUGUAAUUCUUUACCCUCACUUGCCAUAUUUAUUAUCCCAUUUACACAAUUUAUGACAUGCGAAAAUAUGCGUUUUGAUUGACUAUAUGAUAUAUGAUUUGAGAAAUGGGACAGUUUCUACCUCUCUUUUAUACUGAAAUUUUGGCUUGAUUUGAAUGAUUCAGAACAAAAUGCUGCAAUGCAAAAUAAGUUAAUUUACCAAAAAUCUGGUUCAUCUGUAAAUAGGACCAUAUACACGGCAAGGGAGGGUAUUUAUGAAACUCCUUUUUAAAUAUAUUGAUAAAGACUUGUGUAUACCUCAAAAGAGCAGGUCCAAGCUAUUUCUUUGCUGACAGUUCAAAGUAUCUGUAUUAUCUGUUGUCUAUGUUAGUGGAGUUUAGGAGUUAACAUAAUUUGUAACUUUUUUGUGAAGAAGUUAGUAUUUUUUUAAACUUUGUUUUAAGCUAUUCUGCAAAAGUGGAUCCAAAGGUUUUCCAGAGUUUUUGCCUAUUGAGUUUUAUCUCUGGUUUUUUACCCUGGACCUACUUGUCGUAGAAUUGUUUAACACAAAGAUUCACCCCCCAACAUUUUCUGACAGUUCUGCAGCGCAAAAAUGAUUUUACUAGCCAAAUUUUUACUUUUAAAACUAAUGCAUCUUUUUUUAGACCAAAUUUACAAUGCCUGGGAAAAUUCCAAAAUGAUGCAAUAAUUUGAAAACUCAUGUCAGGCAAAUAAAUGCUCAAAAACUGAUUUUAUAUUCAAAGUUAAUGCUGAUGGAGUUUUCUUACGUUAUUCAUUAAGAUGCGAUUCCUUUCAUUUUCAUUAGCUGAAAUUAAUGUUAGCAUCAUAACACUUCAAAGUGUAUCUGCAGGGAACUAAAAAAUUAAUGAAAUGAUAUGCUGGUUGCAUUUUCAUUGCAACUAUUUUAGCAAAAUGUUGAGGGGUAUUUAAUGGUCAUUCAAUGUUUGAUGUGGUUUAUUAAUUAUUUUUUCUGCAACGCGAAAUUUGUCUGGCCAUCUCGUUUUCAUCCUAUAACUAAGAUGGAUCAACUUGAAAAUGACAUUGGUUGGAGUAACUUUUGGUGUCAUGGGGUCAAAGGUCACAGAUGUCAUUAUAUUCCUG